UACGUAGGGGGCUAGCGUUGUCCGGAAUCAUUGGGCGUAAAGCGCGUGUAGGCGGCUCGGUAAGUCCGCUGUGAAAGUCGGGGGCUCAACCCUCGGAUGCCGGUGGAUACUGUCGGGCUAGAGUACGGAAGAGGCGAGUGGAAUUCCUGGUGUAGCGGUGAAAUGCGCAGAUAUCAGGAAGAACACCAACGGCGAAGGCAGCUCGCUGGGACGGUACUGACGCUGAGACGCGAAAGCGUGGGGAGCGAACAGG
This 253-nucleotide ribosomal RNA is filed under the name uncultured bacterium. RNAcentral describes it as "partial 16S ribosomal RNA". It matches the Rfam family "Bacterial small subunit ribosomal RNA", at positions 524 to 776 of the family's 1533-position model. The record is from RNAcentral.